GAUGAAGAACGUAGCGAAAUGCGAUAAGUAAUGUGAAUUGCAGAAUUCAGUGAAUCAUCGAAUCUUUGAACGCACAUUGCGCCCGCCAGUAUUCUGGCGGGCAUGCCUGUUCGAGCGUCAUUUCAACCAUCAAGCCCCAGGCUUGUGUUGGGGACCUGCGGCUGCCGCAGGCCCUGAAAACCAGUGGCGGGCUCGCUGUCACACCGGGCGUAGUAGAUUUUAUCUCGCUCAGGGCGUGCUGCGGGUUCCGGCCGUUAAAAAGCCUUUUUUACCCAAGGUUGACCUCGGAUCAGGUAGAAAGACCCGCUGAACUUAAGCAUAUCAAUAAGCGGAGGA
This 336-nucleotide unclassified non-coding RNA is filed under the name soil metagenome. RNAcentral describes it as "partial contains 5.8S ribosomal RNA, internal transcribed spacer 2, and large subunit ribosomal RNA". The stretch from base 1 to 120 matches the Rfam family "5.8S ribosomal RNA", at positions 35 to 154 of the family's 154-position model. The record is from RNAcentral.